ACUAAAUAACAUGCCAAGUCCGAACCGCUUUGUGGUUCAACUGAUUUGAAGAGCUUGCUCAGAUAUGACGAUGGACAUUGCAAAGAGUGGCGAACGGGUGAGUAACACGUGGGAAACCUACCUCUUAGCAGGGGAUAACAUUUGGAAACAGAUGCUAAUACCGUAUAACAAUGACAACCGCAUGGUUGUUAUUUAAAAGAUGGUUCUGCUAUCACUAAGAGAUGGUCCCGCGGUGCAUUAGCUAGUUGGUAAGGUAAUGGCUUACCAAGGCGAUGAUGCAUAGCCGAGUUGAGAGACUGAUCGGCCACAAUGGGACUGAGACACGGCCCAUACUCCUACGGGAGGCAGCAGUAGGGAAUCUUCCACAAUGGGCGAAAGCCUGAUGGAGCAACGCCGCGUGUGUGAUGAAGGGUUUCGGCUCGUAAAACACUGUUGUAAGAGAAGAAUGACAUUGAGAGUAACUGUUCAAUGUGUGACGGUAUCUUACCAGAAAGGAACGGCUAAAUACGUGCCAGCAGCCGCGGUAAUACGUAUGUUCCAAGCGUUAUCCGGAUUUAUUGGGCGUAAAGCGAGCGCAGACGGUUAUUUAAGUCUGAAGUGAAAGCCCUCAGCUCAACUGAGGAAUUGCUUUGGAAACUGGAUGACUUGAGUGCAGUAGAGGAAAGUGGAACUCCAUGUGUAGCGGUGAAAUGCGUAGAUAUAUGGAAGAACACCAGUGGCGAAGGCGGCUUUCUGGACUGUAACUGACGUUGAGGCUCGAAAGUGUGGGUAGCAAACAGGAUUAGAUACCCUGGUAGUCCACACCGUAAACGAUGAGUGCUAGGUGUUUGAGGGUUUCCGCCCUUAAGUGCCGCAGCUAACGCAUUAAGCACUCCGCCUGGGGAGUACGACCGCAAGGUUGAAACUCAAAGGAAUUGACGGGGACCCGCACAAGCGGUGGAGCAUGUGGUUUAAUUCGAAGCAACGCGAAGAACCUUACCAGGUCUUGACAUCCCUUGACAACUCCAGAGAUGGAGCGUUCCCUUCGGGGACAAGGUGACAGGUGGUGCAUGGUUGUCGUCAGCUCGUGUCGUGAGAUGUUGGGUUAAGUCCCGCAACGAGCGCAACCCUUAUUACUAGUUGCCAGCAUUCAGUUGGGCACUCUAGUGAGACUGCCGGUGACAAACCGGAGGAAGGUGGGGAUGACGUCAAAUCAUCAUGCCCCUUAUGACCUGGGCUACACACGUGCUACAAUGGCGUAUACAACGAGUUGCCAACCCGCGAGGGUGAGCUAAUCUCUUAAAGUACGUCUCAGUUCGGAUUGUAGGCUGCAACUCGCCUACAUGAAGUCGGAAUCGCUAGUAAUCGCGGAUCAGCACGCCGCGGUGAAUACGUUCCCGGGUCUUGUACACACCGCCCGUCACACCAUGAGAGUUUGUAACACCCAAAGCCGGUGGGGUAACCCUCGGGAGCCCAACCCGUCUUAAAGGGGGGCCCAAA
This 1479-nucleotide ribosomal RNA is filed under the name Weissella confusa. Its description in RNAcentral is "bacterial SSU rRNA". It matches the Rfam family "Bacterial small subunit ribosomal RNA". Lineage: Bacteria; Bacillati; Bacillota; Bacilli; Lactobacillales; Lactobacillaceae. The record is from RNAcentral.